Molecule: long non-coding RNA, 564 nt
Organism: Ictalurus punctatus (channel catfish)
Lineage: Eukaryota; Metazoa; Chordata; Actinopteri; Siluriformes; Ictaluridae
Source: Ensembl
GGUGAAUUAAUCAGUGGGUGAAUCAGUUAAUGAAUCAGUGGAGUCAGUGAAUGAAUAAUGAAUUAAUAAUUGAAGGAGUCAAUGAAUGAAUCAAUUAAGCAGUCAGUGAAUGAAUGAAUGAAUCUUUUAGCUGAAUGAAGUGUAUGGUACACGUAAUAUCUCGUGUGUACUGGAGUGGUGUUUUUGAUGUUUCCACACAGUGAGGAAACUUUCAGCAAAUCAAUAUUCAAUAAAACCAUUUCCACAAAUCAAUAACAACGAGAGCCAUUUCCUGUCUCUUCAGCUAAUGUACUGUGUGCUUAUGUGCUGUGUAUCUGCCCAUCUGCUCCCUGUGUGUGUGUGUGUGUGUGUUUGUGCUCAGGUGAGUCCGUCCACCUGCACACAGUCGCACAGGUUUGUCGCACAUUAGUGCUGUAUGAUGGACGGCGCGAGUGUUUUCAUCACCAUUCAGAAGGUGUACUACCCGCUGCUGUGCAUUCUGGGUAUUCCAGCGAACCUCUUCACAUUCUACAUGUUGUGUUGGCGUGUGUGUGGAAUGUCGGACUCGGCACGCGUGUACCUGAG